UUAAAAAAUUAAAAUCUUUUUUUAGUCAAGAAUGAUUUCCUUGUGCGUAAAUGUCACUCAACAAAAACCAUUGAACUUAUUAGAAAGAAGAAUGAAGAUACGAUACAAUCUUAUGUUCAUGGCUUUAUUUAUCUGCUUAAAAAACAUAUAUUUUUGCCCAAAUUCCAGCGAAUGACAGCAGGAAUUUUGUUGUUUUGACUUUCAUCCAUGCAGUGGUCCAAUAGAGUCAAAUUCAGAAUGUUUAAUAGUUUUACUCGCAGUAGAAAAUAUUGCUCGAUAGCUAAUUAACUAAGCAUGUUCUCUGGCUUGCAUGCUUAUGGGUCAGUUUCUAUAAGUAUUUGUGGCUACUAUAAUAUAGCUACUGUCUCUUUUCAAAACCAUUGAAAAAAGACAGUUAUCGUUGCCCGUA
Molecule: long non-coding RNA, 409 nt
Organism: Xenia sp. Carnegie-2017
Lineage: Eukaryota; Metazoa; Cnidaria; Anthozoa; Malacalcyonacea; Xeniidae
Exons: 2
Source: RefSeq, a predicted model, not a curated record